CUUGUUUCUCUUCUGGCCUGAUCUUGGGUUAGCUUCAAGUAUACGGCAAUUUCCCGAGUUGGCCUACCAUCGUUGCCAAUUUGACCAACAGCUUUUAGGUCAGCUCCAGGCUUAUCGUCGUCCUCAUCCUCCCCGCCUUCGCUUUCUCCUUCGAGUGAACCAUGAACGAGUCCACUUGCUGCGGCUUGCUUCGGAGGAUUGAUGGCAUCAAUUGCGGGGGGUGAUGAUGACUCUGGGUAGGUGGUUAGAACGGCAUACUAACAACAAAAUAUAUAUUCUACUUAUUUCCCAUACCAUUUGGGCCCCGGCGAUGAUUGUGCGGUGUCUUGGAUCCCAUGACAGGCUUCCGUUUGUAUUCAUAAGGGGUUUUGAUUGUUGAUGGUUGAUGGGACUGUCUGUGAGAAGCCGUUGGAAUCUUAACCAAAGCUUGGCGCAUGCUUUCCCCCUUUUGGGCAAGCCAUGAUGCAGGAAUUAAUAUUCGUUAUACGCUGAACCGCCCGAAAUAAACCUUCAGCCAACCCGAUUGCCAACCCUAAUCCCGGUUCCCAACCCCGAUCCGUAGCAGAAAACGGAGUGAUAUCAGAACUGUAUAUGAAACGGACGGAGUAGGAUAAAAGACGUGUGUUAAAAGAAAAAACAUCCGUGAAUAUAAAACUGAAGAAGGCGAGGAAGGAGAAAGAGGAAAAUUGGAAAAAGGGCAUAAAAGGAAAAAAAGGAGAGGAAGUAAUACGGUGGGGGGGGAGAAGGAGAAUAAGAAGAGUAAGAAACUAGAACCAAUAGCCCUAUUCACCUAGAUAUUACUGUAGUGUCAACAGAAAAGGAAAAGGUGAAAAGUACAGUAAAUGGCGAACAUGCUAAUCGAUGUUUCCUAUCGUAGUAAUGAGUCUGUUUCUUCGUGAUGAAUCACCGUUGAAUUCCAAUCAUAAUCGUAUCGUGCCUGUCCCUUUCCUGACC
RNAcentral lists this small RNA (954 nucleotides) under Histoplasma capsulatum. RNAcentral describes it as "hypothetical RNA". Lineage: Eukaryota; Fungi; Ascomycota; Eurotiomycetes; Onygenales; Ajellomycetaceae. The record is from RNAcentral. RNAcentral also lists the same sequence under 1 other name.